AAAAAGGCAAACCCUGGGUUUCCGUGCCAACGUUUGACUGUUCGUCUUAUAUGAAUUUUUUUUAUAAUUAGUAUUUUUAUUGUUGUUAGAUGAUAAAACAUGAUUAAUACUUUAUACAUGACUUAUUUUUUUAAUUUUUUCAUAACUUUUUCAAAUAAGACGGAUGGUCAAACGUUGGACACGGAAACCAGGGUUUGUCUUUUU
Molecule: microRNA precursor, 204 nt
Filed under: Oryza glumipatula
Lineage: Eukaryota; Viridiplantae; Streptophyta; Magnoliopsida; Poales; Poaceae
Description: MIR812 microRNA precursor family
Rfam family: MIR812 microRNA precursor family
Source: Rfam by way of RNAcentral